GGCCUGCUGGCGCAAUGGUAGCGCGUUCGACUCCAGAUCGAAAGGUUAUCCGUUCAAAUCGGGUGUGGGUCA
Lasiosphaeria miniovina is the source of this 72-nucleotide non-coding RNA. Lineage: Eukaryota; Fungi; Ascomycota; Sordariomycetes; Sordariales; Lasiosphaeriaceae. The record is from the annotation of a RefSeq genome assembly.